Molecule: ribosomal RNA, 254 nt
Filed under: uncultured bacterium
Lineage: Bacteria
Description: partial 16S ribosomal RNA
Rfam family: Bacterial small subunit ribosomal RNA
Source: RNAcentral
UACGUAGGGGGCGAGCGUUACCCGGAUUUACUGGGCGUAAAGAGCGUGUAGGCGGCUGGCCAAGCGUGAUGUGAAAUCUUCGGGCUUAACCCGAAAACUGCAUUGCGAACUGGUCUGGCUAGAGUGUGUGAGAGGGUAGUGGAAUUCCCGGUGUAGAGGUGAAAUUCGUAGAUAUUGGGAAGAACACCGGUGGCGAAGGCGGCUCUCUGGACCGUAACUGACGCUGAGGCGCGAAAGCGUGGGGAGCAAACGGG